GCGCGGCCGCUCCGCCCUCACCUGAGCCUGAGGUUGGCCAUGAACUCGGGCAUGGAGACGGUGUCCAUCAGCACGAAGUCUGCCUUGCCGAAUUCCAGGCUCUCCUGCUCCGCCAUGGCGCCAGCGCGGGGGCUCAGGAUUAUUGCGGAUGUCUUGAGCAUGGGACCAUUCUUUUUGCAUCCACCAAAUAACUAUUGUACUACUUUGCAUAUAUAAAUAUGAAAUCCAUACUGGUUCAGUGGAAUGAAGUGAGUUGUAAGUAGUCUCCAAUUUAUUGAUACAUUGGUUGAGCUUGGAAAAUUCUUUUUGAACUCAAUGUAUUUUCCCAAAGAAAAUAUACUACAAAUGACUUUCUUUCUUUUUUUUUUUUUUUUCUUUUUCUGGAGACAAAUUCUCCCUCUGUCACCCAGGCUGGAGUGCAGUGGUGCAAUCACAGCUCACUGCAACCUCAAACUCCUGGGCUCAAGCAAUCCUCCAGCCUCAGCCUCCUGAGCAGCUGGGACUACAGGUGUAUGACACCAUGCCCAGCUAUUUUUUUUAAAUAAAUGACUUUCUAAGGUAUCUACAUUUAUUCAGUCCUGUGUUUCUGUUAGGACAUCUUCUAUUACAAAAUCUACGAGGAAAUCUAGAGGCCUCCAAGGACCUGGCUGGGCUUCAACUCUGGCUGAGUUUGAGAUGAGUAAACCAGACUGAAGGACCUUGCCCAAGGCCUGCUUCAGCUGCCAGCCACCCACACUUGCUAAGAGAAAGGAAAGGAGCUUUGUCACCUCCUGAGGGACUGCCUCUGCCAUCAGAAAACCACCCCAAUCCCUGGCACCAGCAGAGCUGGGUUGCAUCUGACUACCGUUAGCAGCUGUCCUUCAGAAGGAGGAGAUCCACCUGUCUCGAUAUCAGUGUCCUCAUUUGUGGAAUAAAAGCUCUGGAAUAAGAUCCACCCUGAUUUCAGCGGGCGUUCCUGGGUCUUGUAUGCACUAGGUGCCCUCAAUGCUUGGCAACUGGAAUGGGUUAGCCUGGAGGCAUUUAGGCUGUCCUUCUACAACCACAGAAGAGCCAUCACUGGCAGAGAGAUCCUUGGCGCAGUUAAGCAGAGAUCUUCUCAGAAGAGCUUUUGAAUAAAUGAAGUUGUUCAGAAUGGCCUUGUUAAAAUGACUCACUUGUCAAAAAACUAGAUGUGUUGGAAGGCUGGGUUGGAAGACAAGAUGUCUGAGAAGCUGUCCUGCUGCAUGAGGAGUUUCAUUGCUACACACCUAGUCUCUGGGUCCUGUGUUUUUGGCCUCCAGCUUACUUCGUGAACAUAAUAAAGGAAAGGCAUUUUCUCUUGUGCAUG
RNAcentral lists this long non-coding RNA (1327 nucleotides) under Homo sapiens (human). RNAcentral describes it as "HSALNT0239507". The record is from RNAcentral. Lineage: Eukaryota; Metazoa; Chordata; Mammalia; Primates; Hominidae.